This is a non-coding RNA of Danionella cerebrum, 75 nucleotides long. The record is from the annotation of a GenBank genome assembly. NCBI's taxonomy places the organism in Eukaryota, Metazoa, Chordata, Actinopteri, Cypriniformes, Danionidae.
GCUUUCCUGUGGCUCAGUUGGUACAGCAUUGCACUAACAACACAUAGGUUGUGGGUUCAAAUCCCAGGGAAAGCA